This 623-nucleotide ribosomal RNA is filed under the name uncultured archaeon. RNAcentral's name for it is "bacterial SSU rRNA". It matches the Rfam family "Archaeal small subunit ribosomal RNA", at positions 339 to 999 of the family's 1478-position model. The record is from RNAcentral.
GCGCGAAAACUUUACACUGCGGGAAACCGCGAUAAGGGGACCCCGAGUGCCAACAGUUGUAGCAAGGGCCGGGCAAGACCGGUGCCAGCCGCCGCGGUAACACCGGCGGCCCGAGUGGUAGCCGUUAUUAUUGGGUUUAAAGGGUCCGUAGCCGGCCUAUUAAGUCUCUUGGGAAAUCUGGCGGCUCAAUCGUCAGGCUCCAAGAGAUACUGGUAGGCUUGGGACCGGGAGAGGUGGGAGGUACUCCAGGGGUAGGGGUGGAAUCUCGUAAUCCUUGGGGGACCACCGAUGGCGAAGGCAUCCCACCAGAACGGGUCCGACGGUGAGGGACGAAAGCUGGGGGCACGAACCGGAUUAGAUACCCGGGUAGUCCCAGCCGUAAACGAUGCUCGCUAGGUGUCAGGUGCGGUGCGACCGCAUCUGGUGCCGCAGUGAAAACUUGAAGCGAGUCACCUGGGAAGUACGGUCGCAAGGCUGAAACUUAAAGGAAUUGGCGGGGGAGCACACAACGGGUGGAGCCUGCGGUUCAAUUGGAUUCAACGCCGGAAAGCUUACCGGGUCAGACAGAAUAUGAAGGUCAAGCUAAAGACUUUACCGAAUUCGCUGAGAAGUAGUGCAUGGCC